CAGCUAUGAUGAAUUUUAUUCCAAUCAUUCGCAGUUUCCACCAUAAAAACUUCUUAGUCUUAAUGAUGGCUGAAGAUCCUUCCUUGGAUGUCUGAGCUG
RNAcentral lists this small nucleolar RNA (99 nucleotides) under Strongylocentrotus purpuratus (purple sea urchin). RNAcentral describes it as "small nucleolar RNA SNORD14". It matches the Rfam family "Small nucleolar RNA SNORD14". From Rfam's summary of the family: U14 small nucleolar RNA (U14 snoRNA) is required for early cleavages of eukaryotic precursor rRNAs. In yeasts, this molecule possess a stem-loop region (known as the Y-domain) which is essential for function. The record is from Rfam by way of RNAcentral. Lineage: Eukaryota; Metazoa; Echinodermata; Echinoidea; Camarodonta; Strongylocentrotidae.